Non-coding RNA from Leptonychotes weddellii (Weddell seal), 812 nucleotides. NCBI's taxonomy places the organism in Eukaryota, Metazoa, Chordata, Mammalia, Carnivora, Phocidae. The record is from RefSeq and is a predicted model, not a curated record.
GGAUCCGGACCCACCGGGGAGAGGGGUCCCCUUCUCUUGUAUCCGGGGCUGGUGGUGCUGAGACUCAGAGAAUUCGAGGCCACGUUCCUUUACUUUUCCUUUACUACCCCACACUGGGGAUGGCUGUCGAGUGUGGCCUUACCACUCUGUAAUCUGUACAUCCCCUCAGUUUCUCCGUAUGUGGAGGGCCAGUGGCGCAAUGGAUAACGCGUCUGACUACGGAUCAGAAGAUUGUAGGUUCGACUCCUGCCUGGCUCGAAUUUUUGCCAAAAUAGAUUUUAAAAACCAAAGAUUAUUACUUCUUUACGGUUCUUCAAAUCACAAACACUAAGAAUAUUUUACCGCACUUUGAACUCAGAAAGCUGUUGCGCGUCGUUUCCAGUACCACCCCGUCGAACUCUCGAGCACUAACGAGACGCUGCCGCCCCCGAGAGCGCUGCGGCCCCCGCUGGAGGGCCGCGCUGAGGAAAGCUGGGGGUGAGUCGCUCAGGGACUCCAGGUUUGUUGACAGAACCUUGAAAAUUAGGCCGCAAGGAAAGAGCCUUCAUCUUAUUCCUACCUUCUCCUCAUUUUACAGAAAAGAAAGUGCAUUGCAGAUCUCUGAGAAGAGAUGAAUCUGGACAACAUUUCAGGAGUGAAGAUUAUUUGGGUACCAGAGCAGCUUACUCAGAAGCAUAAAACCUUCACCAGGCUGGAGAACAACUGGAAAGUCCACAUCUAAAAAUAAACAAAGCAAAGCAAUAAACACCGUCUGAUCAUGUUACAUUUCCUUUAAUGGGGCAAGUGGUGGAUAUUUUUGUUGAAAUGAUGAU